GACGAACGCUGGCGGCGUGCUUAACACAUGCAAGUCGAACGGAAAGGCCCUGCUUUUGUGGGGUGCUCGAGUGGCGAACGGGUGAGUAACACGUGAGUAACCUGCCCUUGACUUUGGGAUAACUUCAGGAAACUGGGGCUAAUACCGGAUAGGAGCUCCUGCUGCAUGGUGGGGGUUGGAAAGUUUCGGCGGUUGGGGAUGGACUCGCGGCUUAUCAUCUUGUUGGUGGGGUAGUGGCUUACCAAGGCUUUGACGGGUAGCCGGCCUGAGAGGGUGACCGGCCAAAUUGGGACUGAGGUACGGCCCCGACUCCUACGGGAGGCAGCAGUGGGGAAUACUGCACAAUGGGCGGAAGCCUGAUGCAGCAACGCCGCGUGCGGGAUGACGGCCUUCGGGUUGUAAACCGCUUUCGCCUGUGACGAAGCGUGAGUGACGGUAAUGGGUAAAGAAGCACCGGCUAACUACGUG
This 468-nucleotide ribosomal RNA is filed under the name uncultured bacterium. RNAcentral's name for it is "partial 16S ribosomal RNA". It matches the Rfam family "Bacterial small subunit ribosomal RNA", at positions 28 to 507 of the family's 1533-position model. The record is from RNAcentral.